CAGUAGCCGCGGGAAUACGUAGGGUGCAAGCGUUAAUCGGAAUUACUGGGCGUAAAGCGUGCGCAGGCGGUUCUAUAAAACAGAUGUGAAAUCCCCGGGCUCAACCUGGGAACUGCAUUUGUGACUGUAGAGCUGGAGUGCGGCAGAGGGGGAUGGAAUUCCGCGUGUAGCAGUGAAAUGCGUAGAUAUGCGGAGGAACACCGAUGGCGAAGGCAAUCCCCUGGGCCUGCACUGACGCUCAUGCACGAAAGCGUGGGGAGCAAACAGGAUUAGAUACCCCGGUAGUCCCUGUCUCUUAUAC
Molecule: ribosomal RNA, 301 nt
Filed under: uncultured bacterium
Lineage: Bacteria
Description: partial 16S ribosomal RNA
Rfam family: Bacterial small subunit ribosomal RNA
Source: RNAcentral